This 253-nucleotide ribosomal RNA is filed under the name uncultured bacterium. Its description in RNAcentral is "partial 16S ribosomal RNA". It matches the Rfam family "Bacterial small subunit ribosomal RNA", at positions 524 to 776 of the family's 1533-position model. The record is from RNAcentral.
UACGUAGGCAGCAAGCGUUGUUCGGAAUUACUGGACGUAAAGAGUGUGUAGGCGGUGUUCUAAGUCUGUUGUGAAAUCUCCCGGCUUAACUGGGAGGGUGCGGCGGAAACUGGAAUGCUAGAGGAUGGGAGAGGUAAGCGGAAUUCCUGGUGUAGCGGUGAAAUGCGUAGAUAUCAGGAGGAACACCUGUGGUGUAGACAGCUUACUGGACCAUUUCUGACGCUGAGACACGAAAGCGUGGGUAGCAAACAGG